AUCGAAGUUAAUGAAAAGGGAAUCUCGUUUUUACAUAGAGAGGCUUUUCUUCCCAGGUCUUCAAAGUCUCUUGGCCAGUUUAAAAAAAUUCCAUUUUAUAGACAGGAAUACUGAGGGCUAGAAGUUUAGUUUAUUUCUCUGGACCACAUACAGCAAACUAUGGAUGACAGGGCUUGGACAUGGAAACCGGGUGAUACCAUCUUAUCAGAGAGCUCGAACUUUGAGCCUGGGGUCCUCAGCCUUUGGUACCAGCAUUUCCGGCAGAGAGGCUGCUCAAGGAUUUAGAUGAGCUUUGCAUGCUCAGUAUCCACAGGAUUUUCACAUGGCCAUUCUUGCUGCCUGGAGGACUGCCAGGAAGAAGCCACCUUGCCUUUUCUGAAGAAACAGGAAGAACCUGUGUCUGGUUGCUGUCACCAUCUUUGCUCUGCCACCUCUGACUCUGUGCUCGGGCUGACCUGACCCAGGGGUGAGAAGAGCUGCAGGAAAGAGGGAGGAUGCCAUCUGCAAAGGGAGGCCUUUGCCAAGUCUGUCCCCUGAGCCUCCCCAUGUGGUUCCCAGGAGCUGAGAGAGCAUUAGAGGCUGGGCAGCAUCUGGGCACAGCACACUCUGUCCACGGAGCUUAGGUGAAACCCCUGCCCCACUGGAUGCAACAGAGGCCUGAGACCUCACCAAGCCUCAGUGUCCCAUCUGUGAAAUGCACCCUCCCUGUGGUGACACCACGGUGACUGGACCGCUGGAAGCUGGGCCCUGGUGUUGCUUCACCUCUCUGGUGAUUAUUUUUUGGCUGUUAGCAAAGGCAAGGGGAGUCGGUUUUGGGUUGAUGGAAGGACCCAGAAUUGAAACAGUUUUCAAAAGAUCCCAUUAAGUGCUGCAUUUUUGUUCCUGCAUGUGGAUCUGUGGGGGCACCAGGGCUCGAGAUAAGAUUACAAAAUACCAUGUUAGGUCGAGUAAUUUGAGAAAGAAUCACUCCCCAGAGGCAAUUUGCACUAGCCCCUGCCUUUUAUUGUACUUUUUAAUUUAAGAAUAAGUUUUUUUUUAAACUAUAGAGAAGUGCCAAAAAAAAAAAAAAGACAAAAAUGACCUAUCAUCACUCAAACACCCCUUUGAUUUGUUAAAAGGAUGAACAGAAUAUAUCUACCUGGUUAGAAAAUUCUAGCCGCACAGAACCAUCGAAAUGAAAAGUGAAACUUUCUUCCUGUCCUCACCUCUGUCCUUAAAGGCGAAGGUGGUUACAGUCUUUUAUGAGUCUUUCCAAGGGGGGGAAAGAAAAAGCAGACAGCCGAACUCUGUUUCUGUGUAUGUGCUCUUUCAGGGAACGCUCCAGAGCCAGGCUGGGUGCACACAGAUGGGGUCUGGAGAUCUGAUCUUUGCACGCCACCAGCUCCACCGUAUCCACUUUAUUCUCGUCCAUGGAUGCAUAUCAACAAGGGUUUAUUAGAACCAGAGUAUUUGUAAAGAGUGCCAGCUUCGUGCUCUAAAUGAAUAAAGACGGGAUUCUGAUGCAUUCGUUAUUGGAGGAAGGGCUUCGAGUGAAUUGUUUGAACUUUCCUGGGAAAGGUGGCUGCUUUUUGGCAGGGAGCAAGGGGAGCAAACUAAAAGGCAGGAGGUGUGGAGCUCUGUCCUUCCGAAGACAUCCUGGCUUGUCCUAGAGGUCGCCGAAGGAUGCUCAAAGCUGCAAGAGACUGAAAAAUGCAGUCUUCCUUUCUUUGGAAAGGAGUCUGUCUCUCUAGGUCAGGGGAGAGAGACAGAGGCAGAGGGGUGGGGUAGACCCUUGCUUGAAGAAAUCCUGGAUGGGAGUGAAAUGUAAACAUCCAGCACCGGCACAAGCAGUCUUUUUACGAGUCCCCAGUUCACUUGAAAUCCAUGUGGCAUUAAUCUCUGAUGGGUGGACCUGGCUUAUUGACAACUGUGUUUCCCUAUUUGCUUGUUUCUUGACUCCUGUUAAAGAGGAUGGGAUUUAUUUAAUGGAGCGUUGGUCUGGGUUAGAACCCACUUUAGAUUUCCUGGCAUCAGUUUCUCUCGCUAGAAUUACAUUGGCCAGGGUUUCUUUUCAAAAGAAACUCUACCUGCGUUGUGUUCUGCGGGAUAAUAUGGAUUUAGAAUCUCGCCAACAUGUGCCCGAGGAACUCAGCUGAAAGCGUUGUGCAACCAGGCAGGCUAUGUAAUGAGAAACAUUUGAUUCUCUUUUUUAAUGGGCGGGAAUGAUGCACAGAAUGGUAUUUGGGCUUCCCCUUGACCUUGCCGUUUGAACUAUAGCCUCCCUCACUGUGCCUGAGAUAUUUCUAGCCAACUUAUUGGAUCUCAACUUUAAAAAAAAAUUCUUCUGUUUUGGGAUUUUUUUUUUUUUUAAGGGACAGAGCAAGGAGGAAUCACACUGCCUUCUUUUUCAAGGCAAUAAAAUGAAAACCACACAUGUAGUAACAGUCCAACUUGGGAAUUCUAAACACUUGGAACAAUUAUACUCAAUUUAGUCUAGUCUCUUCUUUGGAGUUGAAACCAGUUGAAACCCCUGCUUCAUUCUAAAGAGCUUUUCUCCAAGAGACCGGUCAAGAUCCUCCUUGGAACACACAUCUGUUUCUGGGCUGGCCAAAUCCAAAAGUGGAAUCCCAAUUACAGUUUUCAUGGGUGAUGGAAUUUCAACUGCCUUACAGUUUAACCACCUGGGUUGCCUUCACUCGUUUUCUUCUUGAGGAUGAAAUAAGCUGAUUAAGUGUUCACUCAGUUUAUUAAAUUACAUUUCCAUCCUGUAACAUUCUAUUUCCUUUUUCUCUGGUGAGAUAUAUUGACUGGAUGGAUUAUCUCCAGUGUCUUAUAUUGGCCACACAAUUUUCACUUUUGGGACGUUCUCCCAGUUGCUAGUGGAUGCGGUUUUAGCUUUAUAGGAUUUAAUUUUCCCCCAAACAACAAACAACACAACAAAAAUUCUUUAACUAGAUGGUUUUAAUUUAACAACGAACCUCUUGGAUGAAAAAAAUGAGAAAGAUAAUUUGAAUGAAUGGAAGGAAAUGGAUUUCUUAAAAAGAGUUGCAUUGGAACUUAAAGCUUGCGAAACAUUAAAAAAAAAAAAAAAAGCGCCUCUGGCGAACAAGUUGUAAUAGGAUUAGCUUGAUCUAAGAAGAGAAAGUAUCAUUCUGGCCACCAGGGGGAGCAACACAUUGUUCCAGGAAGAUAACAGACGAAUGCAAAGAUAAUAGUAUAUAUAGAACCUUUUUCUUGUUUUAUUGACGUAUAGUUGAUUUACAAUGUUGUGAUGUAAAUCACAGUGUACAACAAAGUGAUUCAGUUAUACACGUACACACAUCCGUUCUUUUUCAGAUUCUUUUCCCGUAUAGACCAUCCCAGAAUACUGGGGAGAGGAAAUCCAUCAUUCUGUUAACAUGGUCCACUUGUGAACAACAUAUUUACAAGACAAAUGCUCUUCCUGUUGUUGUUGUUUAUUAUCACUGAUAAUCAGAUGCUUUGAUUCUGGAACAAACAGGAUAGGCGGGGUGUAGAGUGAAAAACCGAUUUUCGAGGCUCACCGUGUGAGAAUGAUCAAGUAAGUCAGACAAUACCAGGAGCACCUUAACGAUGUUUCACUUCUAAGUUUGACUCUCUAAGAGAUACAUGUAUUCAAUUCUUCGAAUCUGGGAACCAAUAAUGAGUUUUAAAAAGCAACUUAGUUGAAAUGGAUGUCUUCGGGAAAUAAAAUAAACGUUAUAUUUG
This 3705-nucleotide long non-coding RNA is filed under the name Sus scrofa (pig). RNAcentral's name for it is "lncRNA (ENSSSCG00000060477.1)". Lineage: Eukaryota; Metazoa; Chordata; Mammalia; Artiodactyla; Suidae. The record is from RNAcentral.